AACGAACGCUGGCGGCAUGCCUAACACAUGCAAGUCGAACGAGACCUUCGGGCCUAGUGGCGCAUGGGUGCGUAACGCGUGGGAAUCUGCCCUUGGGUUCGGAAUAACAGUUGGAAACGACUGCUAUUACCGGAUGAUGACGUAAGUCCAAAGAUUUAUCGCCCAAGGAUGAGCCCGCGUAGGAUUAGCUAGUUGGUGAGGUAAAGGCUCACCAAGGCGACGAUACUUAGCUGGUCUGAGAGGAUGAUCAGCCACACUGGGACUGAGACACGGCCCAGACUCCUACGGGAGGCAGCAGUGGGGAAUAUUGGACAGUCGGGGAAAGCCUGAUCCAGCAAUGCCGCGUGAGUGAUGAAGGGGUUAGGGUUGUAAAGAGCUUUUACCCGGGAUGAUAAUGACAGUACCGGGAGAAUAAGCACCGGCUAACUCCGUG
RNAcentral lists this ribosomal RNA (433 nucleotides) under uncultured bacterium. RNAcentral describes it as "partial 16S ribosomal RNA". It matches the Rfam family "Bacterial small subunit ribosomal RNA", at positions 29 to 507 of the family's 1533-position model. The record is from RNAcentral.